This 428-nucleotide ribosomal RNA is filed under the name uncultured bacterium. Its description in RNAcentral is "bacterial SSU rRNA". It matches the Rfam family "Bacterial small subunit ribosomal RNA", at positions 355 to 776 of the family's 1533-position model. The record is from RNAcentral.
UCGAGAAUAUUUAGCAAUGGACGAAAGUCUGACUAUGCGACGCCGCGUGCAGGAUGAAGGUCUUCGGAUUGUAAACUGCUUUUGUUAGGGGAGAAACCUGUAUUGUUAACAGCAAUACAGCUGACGGUACCUGACGAAUAAGCCACGGCAAACUCUGUGCCAGCAGCCGCGGUAAUACAGAGGUGGCAAGCGUUACUCGGAAUUAUUGGGUGUAAAGGGCAGGUAGGUGGCCUAGUAAGUGAGGGGUGAAAUACUGCGGUUCAAUCGCAGAACAGCCUUUCAAACUGCAUGGCUUGAGAGAAAUAGAGGAAGAUGGAAUUCCCGGUGUAAGGGUGAAAUCUGUAGAUAUCGGGAAGAACACCAACGGCGAAGGCAAUCUUCUGGGUUUCUUCUGACACUGAACUGCGAAAGCUAGGGGAGCAAACAGA